CAACAUGGUAAGAAGCUGGUCUUUGCUUCUCUGUAUAUCAAAACAAAAAAAGCCUUUAGUUUUUAAGUUAAACAUUCAAAAAACCUUCCUAACUAUGGAAAUAUUUAAGACUAGAUAGUACUAUUUUUUAAGUGUUCAUUGCUAAAGAUCUUAAAAUAAAAGCAAGAGAGCAAUCUUCUUUGGAUGGUAAGAAUUUAUUCUUGGGCUGGAAGCUGGGAAAGUACUGGAUUCUCCCUCCAUUCCCUUUCUGAUCCCAGAAGUCUUUGGACCACAGUCCCCUGUCAAUUGGUAACACCCAAGAAACAGCAGAUAGAAAAAGCAGUCACCACACAAGCCACCACACCAUGAGCAAGCACAGGACAUUGAGGCUCUCUGGACCAGCCACAGCUGAGCUCAGCAGGACCACACGGUUCUCAGGAGAGUCCUGCAAACCAGCACCAACAUCUCUGGCCCAGAGCCACAUCUGGCCUUCCCACAUGUAUCGUUGGCUGACCAAAAAGCUGACAGCCGGAGAAGGGAAAAGAACAAGAGGAGAUGGUCUCCUGCCCUGUCUUGGAAACAUAAAAGCACUUCCUGGGCUCCAGGAGGCAGCAGAAGGGAUUCAGGCACAGAAGAGGAUAAACCAGGUUGUGUGAGAAUCAAAGGAGACAAUGAGAUUGUGAAAGGUGGGACAGCAGGAUCCAGCAGAACCACAGUGAUAGACACCGCCUCAUCACCCGCCCUCCCUGGAAUCUCAUCCCUCCUCCACCUGGAAAUAUCUUUCUGCUCAACUAGAAGCACGAGAAGCACAAAGUCAGGAAAAAAAUGCCUCUGUGUCAUUACAUAGUGACUACAAAAAAAAAAAAAAUCAACCCUAAUCACCUCCACCCCCGACAUCCACAAGAAUUUUAAAAACUAUGACGUGCUCUACAAUAAUAAAAGUAGACUUUAUUAACUAUCUACACAGUGCUGAGUGCCUUAUACCCGUUACCUAUAUUUGUUCCCUACUUAUUGUUAUUAUUCCAGUCCCUUCAAUAAGAAAGCUGAGGAUCAGAGAGGAAAGUGAAUUCUCCACGCACCUAUGCAGUUAAGAUUGGAAUACAGCCUGUAAUCCCAGCACUUUGGGAGGCCGAGGCGGG
This 1118-nucleotide long non-coding RNA is filed under the name Homo sapiens (human). RNAcentral's name for it is "HSALNT0094942". The record is from RNAcentral. Lineage: Eukaryota; Metazoa; Chordata; Mammalia; Primates; Hominidae.